UACAGAGGUCUCAAGCGUUGUUCGGAUUCAUUGGGCGUAAAGCGUCCGCAGGUGGCUAUGUAAGUCUGCUGUUAAAGAGUGAGGCUCAACCUCAUAAGAGCAGUGGAAACUACAUGGCUAGAGUGCGUUCGGGGCAGGGGGAAUUCCUGGUGUAGCGGUGAAAUGCGUAGAUAUCAGGAAGAACACCGGUGGCGAAAGCGCUCUGCUAGGCCGCAACUGACACUGAGGGACGAAAGCUAGGGGAGCGAAUGGG
RNAcentral lists this ribosomal RNA (253 nucleotides) under uncultured bacterium. Its description in RNAcentral is "partial 16S ribosomal RNA". It matches the Rfam family "Bacterial small subunit ribosomal RNA", at positions 524 to 776 of the family's 1533-position model. The record is from RNAcentral.